ACGUUAGCGGCGGACGGGUGAGUAACACGUGGGUAACCUACCUAUAAGACUGGGAUAACUUCGGGAAACCGGAGCUAAUACCGGAUAAUAUUUCGAACCGCAUGGUUCGAUAGUGAAAGAUGGUUUUGCUAUCACUUAUAGAUGGACCUGCGCCGUAUUAGCUAGUUGGUAAGGUAACGGCUUACCAAGGCGACGAUACGUAGCCGACCUGAGAGGGUGAUCGGCCACACUGGAACUGAGACACGGUCCAGACUCCUACGGGAGGCGGCAGCC
RNAcentral lists this ribosomal RNA (273 nucleotides) under uncultured Staphylococcus sp. Its description in RNAcentral is "partial 16S ribosomal RNA". It matches the Rfam family "Bacterial small subunit ribosomal RNA", at positions 89 to 355 of the family's 1533-position model. Lineage: Bacteria; Bacillati; Bacillota; Bacilli; Caryophanales; Staphylococcaceae. The record is from RNAcentral.